This 395-nucleotide ribosomal RNA is filed under the name uncultured bacterium. Its description in RNAcentral is "bacterial SSU rRNA". It matches the Rfam family "Bacterial small subunit ribosomal RNA", at positions 971 to 1425 of the family's 1533-position model. The record is from RNAcentral.
UUACCGGCUUGACAUGAAAGAGAUUCCUCCGGGCACAGGUGCUGCACGGCUGUCGUCAGCUCGUGUCGUGAGAUGUUGGGUUAAGUCCCGCAACGAGCGCAACCCCGUUUUAGUUGCCAGCAUAUGGGACUCUAGAAGACUGCCGGUGUUAACCGGAGGAAGGUGUGGACGACGUCAAGUCAUCAUGGCCCUUAUGCCGGGCUACACACGUGUUACAAUGGGGCACACGGGGCAUAGCAAUAGAUGCAAUCCCUAAACCAUCCCAGUUCGGAUUGUAGGCUGCAACUCGCCUACAUGAAGUCGGAAUCGCUAGUAAACGCAAUCAGAAUGUGCGUUGAAUGUGUUCCCGGGUCUUGUACACACCGCCCGUCACACCAUGGAAGUUUGAAGCCGAA